This 474-nucleotide ribosomal RNA is filed under the name Haploniscus sp. 1a SB-2021a. Its description in RNAcentral is "partial 16S ribosomal RNA". It matches the Rfam family "Archaeal large subunit ribosomal RNA", at positions 1924 to 2666 of the family's 2987-position model. The record is from RNAcentral. Lineage: Eukaryota; Metazoa; Arthropoda; Malacostraca; Isopoda; Haploniscidae.
CUCCAGCUCGGCGGUUGGUAGGCUCUGCUCAGUGAUUUAUUAAAUAGCCGCAGUAUUUUAACUGUGCUAAGGUAGCUUAGUAAUUAGGCUCUUAAUAAGAGUCUUGUAUGAAGGAGUUGACGAUUUUUAAACUUUCUUGGUUUAAGGCUAGAAUUUUAUCUCUAAGUUAAAAAGCUUAGCUUAACUAGAAAGACGAUAAGACCCUAUAAAGCUUCACUAAUAAUAGAACUAUAUUUAGCACGGUUUAAAAAGUUUAGUUGAGCUGGGGCGGCAAUUAAAAUUCUUUAAUGGAAAAAACAAAAUUUUUGAUCAAAAAGAUCUAAUAAAAGAUAGAAUAAGCUACUUUAGGGAUAACAGCGCAAUCUUUUUAGAGAGAUCUUAUUAAUAAAAAGGACUUGCGACCUCGAUGUUGAAUUGAGGGGCCUAGAUUAAGCAGAAAUAAUCUUAGGGAGUCUGUUCGACUUUUAAUUCCUC